Molecule: ribosomal RNA, 706 nt
Filed under: Cladosporium sp. 9h-CH10
Lineage: Eukaryota; Fungi; Ascomycota; Dothideomycetes; Cladosporiales; Cladosporiaceae
Description: SSU rRNA
Rfam family: Eukaryotic small subunit ribosomal RNA
Source: RNAcentral
UUAAAGCUCGUAGUUGACCUUGGGCCUGGCUGGCCGGUCCGCCUCACCGCGUGUACUGGUCCGGCCGGGCCUUUCCUUCUGGGGAACCUCAUGCCCUUCACUGGGCGUGCUGGGGAACCAGGACUUUUACUUUGAAAAAAUUAGAGUGUUCAAAGCAGGCCUUUGCUCGAAUACAUUAGCAUGGAAUAAUAGAAUAGGACGUGUGGUUCUAUUUUGUUGGUUUCUAGGACCGCCGUAAUGAUUAAUAGGGAUAGUCGGGGGCAUCAGUAUUCAAGCGUCAGAGGUGAAAUUCUUGGAUUGCUUGAAGACUAACUACUGCGAAAGCAUUUGCCAAGGAUGUUUUCAUUAAUCAGUGAACGAAAGUUAGGGGAUCGAAGACGAUCAGAUACCGUCGUAGUCUUAACCAUAAACUAUGCCGACUAGGGAUCGGACGGUGUUAGUAUUUUGACCCGUUCGGCACCUUACAAGAAAUCAAAGUUUUUGGGUUCUGGGGGGAGUAUGGUCGCAAGGCUGAAACUUAAAGAAAUUGACGGAAGGGCACCACCAGGCGUGGAGCCUGCGGCUUAAUUUGACUCAUCACGGGGAAACUCACCNGGUCCANACACAAUAAGGAUUGACAGAUUGAGAGCUCCUUCUUGAUUUUGUGGGUGGUGGUGCAUGGCCGUUCUUAGUUGGUGGAGUGAUUUGUCUGCUUAAUUGCGAUAAC